Termitomyces sp. J132 is the source of this 93-nucleotide transfer RNA. It matches the Rfam family "tRNA". From Rfam's summary of the family: Transfer RNA (tRNA) molecules are approximately 80 nucleotides in length. Their secondary structure includes four short double-helical elements and three loops (D, anti-codon, and T loops). Further hydrogen bonds mediate the characteristic L-shaped molecular structure. tRNAs have two regions of fundamental functional importance: the anti-codon, which is responsible for specific mRNA codon recognition, and the 3' end, to which the tRNAs corresponding amino acid is attached (by aminoacyl-tRNA synthetases). tRNAs cope with the degeneracy of the genetic code in two manners: having more than one tRNA (with a specific anti-codon) for a particular amino acid; and 'wobble' base-pairing, i.e. permitting non-standard base-pairing at the 3rd anti-codon position. The record is from Rfam. Lineage: Eukaryota; Fungi; Basidiomycota; Agaricomycetes; Agaricales; Lyophyllaceae.
GGCGCUAUAGCCAAGUGGUUACGGCGACAGAUUCGAAUAUCUUCUGUUAUCUGUUCCUCUUUGAGGGCGCAGGUUCAAAUCCUGCUGGCGUCG